This 317-nucleotide ribosomal RNA is filed under the name uncultured bacterium. RNAcentral's name for it is "bacterial SSU rRNA". It matches the Rfam family "Bacterial small subunit ribosomal RNA", at positions 28 to 327 of the family's 1533-position model. The record is from RNAcentral.
GAUGAACGCUGGCGGCGUGCUUAACACAUGCAAGUCGAACGAAGCACUUUACUUGAUUUCUUCGGAAUGAUUGUUCUGUGACUGAGUGGCGGACGGGUGAGUAACGCGUGGGUAACCUGCCUCAUACAGGGGGAUAACAGUUGGAAACGACUGCUAAUACCGCAUAAGCGCACGGUAUCGCAUGAUACAGUGUGAAAAACUCCGGUGGUAUGAGAUGGACCCCGCGUCUGAUUAGCUAGUUGGUGGGGUAACGGCCUACCAAGGCGACGAUCAGUAGCCGACCUGAGAGGGUGACCGGCACAUUGGGACUGAGACAC